AGAUUCUGAGCUAACACUGGCCACAAUCACAUCAUAACACAAUCAAUGUUAUAAGACAAGAACUUUUAUCACAAAACAUGACUCCAGAAGCACUGCAAAAAACUUCUAUACAAAGAAGAUAAGUGAAUGGGCAUACACCUGAGAAACCCCAGCGAGUGGGCCAAAGGCCAUUAGCCCCAUCAAGGUUAGUGGAAAGCUUCUACCACAUGGGGGCGCUCCCAUCCUGCUUCCCUCGGCCAUUACUCCACCCACUAAGAGGUUGGCUGCUCCUAGAGGAUUGGUCAGGUCUAAGAACAUGGCUGAGGCUUCUGUGCUUGGGCAUAGAGCUGUCUCCGCAAUGAAAACAAGGUUAAAAGUGGUUCCUGGUGAAGAAUUUCUUUUUAGCUCAUUUGUUUGAUUGGAAUUGCCUAUUCCUUCCAUUAGAGCCAAGCAAUGAAGAUGUGUGCAGGCCAGGCAAAUCCUGAGGGGAUCGAACUCAGGACCUUGCACUUUUGAGGCAGGCGCUGAAACCACUGAGCUAAAUCCUUGGCACCAGAAAGUUUUACUCUUACACACCUUUCAGGAUUAAGCUGAAACAUUAUCUGCUCCAUGAUGCCUUCCCCAAAUCUAAUUGCGACAUGCAUAAUAAAUGAGGCAAUAGUUCGACCUAGAUGUUCACGAGCAAGCACAUCCCGGGUAGCUGUCCUCUACGAGUUCGUUUCCACCUUGUUUCUUCAUUUUUCUUUCUGUCUUUUAUUUCAAAGUAUCUUUCCACUAUGAAUGUAAUGGUUAUGUACUACAAACAUG
Long non-coding RNA from Heterocephalus glaber (naked mole-rat), 786 nucleotides. NCBI's taxonomy places the organism in Eukaryota, Metazoa, Chordata, Mammalia, Rodentia, Bathyergidae. The record is from Ensembl.